This 1033-nucleotide long non-coding RNA is filed under the name Felis catus (domestic cat). RNAcentral's name for it is "lncRNA (ENSFCAG00000051300.1)". Lineage: Eukaryota; Metazoa; Chordata; Mammalia; Carnivora; Felidae. The record is from RNAcentral.
GAGGCAUGAUUGAAAAGCUUACUGAGAGUAACCGCACUUCACAAAAAACGAAAUCCGUGACUCAGCCUGGCUCAGAGGCACCCGUCCAUGCUUAUAUCACUCUGUUAAGCAACACUGCUGUAUUUCCAGCAUCUCAAGGACCCUUGGGGGCAUAUCGCUGCAUCGUUGUUCAAGAAAUCAAGACUAGAAAUCGAGUGCACAAGGAUGAGAGCUUUCCCUGCAGUCACAUAGCUAGUAAGGGGUUCAGAGCUGGCCGCUGACUCAGAUGGACUAGCUCCACGGGCCAAUGCUCCAAAUAUAACAGGCGUGAGGAUAACAGGAGGCCAGGUCUGUCUCCUGAGAGGCCUCCUGGGUUAGUCAAGGCUGCAGGACCAGAUAUACUGAGUGGAUCUGAGUUCAGAGACAGAGUCAGGCUGCCCCACUCCAGUAGACAAAUGUAGCAAACCUCUAUCUGGUAAUUUGAGGGCAGAAAGGACUUUGGGGUGCUAAUCAGGAUGGGAUCCACGCUUUCUCUGGAAAAUGCCUACUCAGCCUAUAAGAAAUAUGCAAGAGACAGAAGUAAAAUCAGAAGGUUACCAAAAUAGCCUAAGGCUUACAUAUCCUAUGUCCAAAUUUAUACCUGACCCAGGAACCUAACAGGCUGUGACCUGGAGCCAGCAAUGUCCCUUCCCCAGCUCAUUCUUCUCAGGGGACAUGCCGAGGCUUGUUGGCAGAAAAUGGGAAGAAACUCUGGUUUGUUGGAGGUUUUAAACACAGAAGAUGGCAAGAUGUGGUACUUGGACCAAAAGAAGUGGCUGUCUUAAAAAGAAAAGAAAUUCUUAGGGCACCUGGGUGGCUCAGUCGGUUGAGCAUCCGACUUCGGCUCAGGUCAUGAUCUCACAGUCUGUGAGUUCGAGCCCCGCAUCGGGCUCUGUGCAGACAGCUGGGAGCCUGGAGCCCGCCUCAGAUUCUGUGUCUCCCUCUCUCUCUGCCCCUCCCCUGCUCAUGCUCUGUCUCUCUCUAUCUCAAAAAUAAAUAAAAACAUUAAAAAACA